UAGGAAAAGCAAGUCCGGUAAUUCCCUGA
RNAcentral lists this non-coding RNA (29 nucleotides) under Rattus norvegicus (Norway rat). The record is from RNAcentral. Lineage: Eukaryota; Metazoa; Chordata; Mammalia; Rodentia; Muridae.